This 314-nucleotide unclassified non-coding RNA is filed under the name Hevea brasiliensis (rubber tree). Lineage: Eukaryota; Viridiplantae; Streptophyta; Magnoliopsida; Malpighiales; Euphorbiaceae. The record is from RNAcentral.
AAUUUUUUUUUUACUAUUAGUAAAUUAUUUUAGCAUUCUCAAAUCAUAGUUGCAAAAUUUAGUGUUCGUGGAAUACUAAAACAAUUGCUAUAACACAGGUCUGAAUCCACUAACAUUGUAAUAGCCCAAGCCAAGCCCAGAGUCGAACACAGUUUAGCAUGGCUGAGCAUAAACUAGUACUCAAUGCAAAGAAAAAAUUGUCCCAUCGUAAAAUGAUAGAGAUUCAAGUAAGUAUGAAAGCAAAAUCUUCUUAUAUGGUGCAUUCUUCUGGAGAACUUUCUACUCAAUUCAGUGUGGUGCAUUGAAAAGAGCUC